UACGGAGGGUGCAAGCGUUAUCCGGAUUCACUGGGUUUAAAGGGUGCGUAGGUGGGCAGGUAAGUCAGUGGUGAAAUCUCCGGGCUUAACCCGGAAAGGUCAACUGAUACUGUGCGACUAGAGUGCGGAAGGGGCAACUGGAAUUCUCGGUGUAGCGGUGAAAUGCGUAGAUAUCGAGAGGAACACCUGCGGCGAAGGCGGGUUGCUGGGCCGACACUGACGCUGAUGCGCGAAAGCUAGGGGAGCAAACGGG
RNAcentral lists this ribosomal RNA (253 nucleotides) under uncultured bacterium. RNAcentral's name for it is "partial 16S ribosomal RNA". It matches the Rfam family "Bacterial small subunit ribosomal RNA", at positions 524 to 776 of the family's 1533-position model. The record is from RNAcentral.